This 74-nucleotide transfer RNA is filed under the name Candidatus Heimdallarchaeota archaeon. RNAcentral's name for it is "tRNA-Pro". It matches the Rfam family "tRNA". Rfam says of the family: Transfer RNA (tRNA) molecules are approximately 80 nucleotides in length. Lineage: Archaea; Promethearchaeati; Candidatus Heimdallarchaeota. RNAcentral also lists the same sequence under 1 other name. The record is from RNAcentral.
CGGGGCGUGGCGCAGCCUGGUAGCGCACUUGGUUUGGGACCAAGGGGCCGGAGGUUCGAAUCCUCUCGCCCCGA